This 274-nucleotide ribosomal RNA is filed under the name uncultured bacterium. RNAcentral's name for it is "partial 16S ribosomal RNA". It matches the Rfam family "Bacterial small subunit ribosomal RNA", at positions 523 to 796 of the family's 1533-position model. The record is from RNAcentral.
AUACGGAGGGUGCAAGCGUUGUUCGGAAUUAUUGGGCGUAAAGAGCAUGUAGGCGGACUAUUAAGUCUGGUGUGAAAGCCCGGGGCUCAACCCCGGAAGUGCAUUGGAUACUGGUAGUCUUGAGUAUGGGAGAGGAAAGUGGAAUUCCGAGUGUAGGAGUGAAAUCCGUAGAUAUUCGGAGGAACACCAGUGGCGAAGGCGGCUUUCUGGACCAAUACUGACGCUGAGAUGCGAAAGCGUGGGGAGCGAACAGGAUUAGAAACCCCAGUAGUCC